Long non-coding RNA from Equus caballus (horse), 1247 nucleotides. RefSeq lists it as uncharacterized. The record is from RefSeq and is a predicted model, not a curated record. NCBI's taxonomy places the organism in Eukaryota, Metazoa, Chordata, Mammalia, Perissodactyla, Equidae.
ACAGAGAGAAGUCUGCGACCCGGAAGAGGGCCCUCACUGGACCAUGCUGGCUCCCUGAUCUCAGACUUCCAGCCUCCAGAACUGAGAGCAAUGAAUUCCUGCUGUUUAGAAGCCACCCGGUCUGUGGUGUUUUGUUAUAGCAGCCGGAACAGACUAAGACACUUCACAACAACCCUAUCAGGGGCUGGAUCGGAGGAGGCAGAACUGGUUACAAGAACUGUGGGAGGAAGAGGCAGGAAAUUUAACAAUGGACCACAGACCAUUCAAAGGAUGUGAUGGGAAACACAGCCAUUGGCAGCCCUGGACUCAUAUUGUCUCGUUGAGCCAUCUCAGCAGGAAAACCAUCUUUUCCAAGAGCUCCAGCAGAAAAAUCCUACAAAGGGCUCUGGCCAGGUUGGUUCGUGAGCCCACCAUCAAACCAAUCACUGUGGCCGGAAAGAGGAGCUAUUCUGAUGAACUACAUGUGGCUACAUGUUCAUAGUUGUGGCUGGCCAGAGUGGGGUCAGCCCACCCAAGCCAUGUGAAAUGGGCUUCCCCAGGAAAGAGGAGAUGGGACUCCAGGAGAAGAGGGCUGAGAAGUUCCCAGCAGGAACCCAUGUCAAAAUUCCACCUUUCAGACCUUUCCCAGACAGAUGAGGAUGAGCCCCCUGCACAUCCCUUUCCAGCAGCUGCUUGAAAUAUCAACUCCACCUGUCCUAGAGCUUGAUGAGUCGAUCUGUCUUCGGCCACUUCCCUCCAUCUAGGAAUGUCAAUACCGUGUUAAAUUGACUCUGAAUAGAGACAAGAUUAUGGAGUCCCUCCGUCUCGAAGCAGGUGCCAAAAGAAAAUGAUUUAUUUUCACUCAUCUAGGCCCAAACCAGAAAAUUACUUCCACUCUAACUCUUCAGAGGAGGGAGCAGCUGCCUGGGGCACAGCUCUUUCUGCCUCUCUGGAAGCCAAAGACCACGGUGGGGUAACCGACUUUGGAUUUUUCCAGAAUUCUUUCCCUAGUUCACAAUCAUCCAUCCCAAGGGGCUUCAUAGUCACAGAGGAUUCCUGACACUCCCACACAGCUAUGGGCCUGCCAGUUGGCACACGUUUUCUGAAAAGUACUUUGUCCAAAAAUAACAAAGCUUUUAAAAUGUUAAGUGUGAUGGAGGAAAAACAGCUUCAUAUUUGAUUGUCUACAUCUUUGAUUGUCUCCACCUGCUAAAGAUAACUCCGUGGUGGCCUGUUCAGCCUUCCUUUUUCUCUCUCCAAUAGGAAGA